RNAcentral lists this ribosomal RNA (253 nucleotides) under uncultured bacterium. RNAcentral's name for it is "partial 16S ribosomal RNA". It matches the Rfam family "Bacterial small subunit ribosomal RNA", at positions 524 to 776 of the family's 1533-position model. The record is from RNAcentral.
UACGUAGGGACCGAGCGUUGUCCGGAUUCAUUGGGCGUAAAGAGCUCGUAGGCGGCUGCUCAAGUCGAAUGUGAAAACUCGAGGCUCAACCUCGAGCCUGCAUUCGAUACUGGGCGGCUAGAGUCUGGUAGGGGGAUCUGGAAUUCCUGGUGUAGCGGUGGAAUGCGCAGACAUCAGGAGGAACACCGGUGGCGAAGGCGGGAUCCUGGGCCAGUACUGACGCUGAGGAGCGAAAGCGUGGGGAGCAAACAGG